Molecule: long non-coding RNA, 451 nt
Organism: Girardinichthys multiradiatus
Lineage: Eukaryota; Metazoa; Chordata; Actinopteri; Cyprinodontiformes; Goodeidae
Exons: 2
Source: RefSeq, a predicted model, not a curated record
GCUAUGUCUAUGUUUUGUCUUUCGUCUUUGUAGUAACUUUGUUUAUGUCCCUUUGCAAACUAACAAACUGAACUUUGGAUCUAUGUCACUGGAUUACUGACUUUGCAACUAAGAGCUUCUGAAUGAAUUACGUUCUGAGUACUUCCUUUCCAAGUAUAGUCUCUGUUUGGAUCAUCGUUUCAAGCUGGCAGUUUCCCUGCUUCCUUCGUCUCCAGGAUCAAGAACUAGGCGUACCCUGUCCACCCUCUAACGCAAGUAUCAGCACAAAGGAAUUAACUCUCUCAUCUCUAAGCUCAUCUAAGAAGCAACUAAGAAACCAACUGAACAAACUCAACCACGACAGCUUGGAUCCCAAAUCCCUCUACCCCUGGCGACGUGACCAUUCAUUGGUGUUUUCGUCCGUUUCCGUUCCAGAAUAUUUUAUGACAAAAUAAAUAUUAUUUUCACUUUU